RNAcentral lists this ribosomal RNA (437 nucleotides) under uncultured bacterium. RNAcentral describes it as "partial 16S ribosomal RNA". It matches the Rfam family "Bacterial small subunit ribosomal RNA", at positions 29 to 507 of the family's 1533-position model. The record is from RNAcentral.
AGCGAACGCUGGCGGCAGGCUUAACACAUGCCAGUCGAGCGGGCACCUUUCGGGGUGUCAGCGGCGGACGGGUGAGUAACGCGUGGGAACGUGCCCUCUGGUUCGGAAUAACUCAGGGAAACUUGAGCUAAUACCGGAUACGCCCUUUUGGGGAAAGGCUUGCUGCCGGAGGAUCGGCCCGCGUCUGAUUAGCUAGUUGGUGAGGUAACGGCUCACCAAGGCGACGAUCAGUAGCUGGUCUGAGAGGAUGAUCAGCCACACUGGGACUGAGACACGGCCCAGACUCCUACGGGAGGCAGCAGUGGGGAAUAUUGGACAAUGGGCGCAAGCCUGAUCCAGCCAUGCCGCGUGAGUGAUGAAGGCCUUAGGGUUGUAAAGCUCUUUUAUCCGGGACGAUAAUGACGGUACCGGAGGAAUAAGCCCCGGCUAACUUCGUG